RNAcentral lists this transfer RNA (83 nucleotides) under Pellia neesiana. RNAcentral describes it as "tRNA-Arg". It matches the Rfam family "tRNA". From Rfam's summary of the family: Transfer RNA (tRNA) molecules are approximately 80 nucleotides in length. Their secondary structure includes four short double-helical elements and three loops (D, anti-codon, and T loops). Further hydrogen bonds mediate the characteristic L-shaped molecular structure. tRNAs have two regions of fundamental functional importance: the anti-codon, which is responsible for specific mRNA codon recognition, and the 3' end, to which the tRNAs corresponding amino acid is attached (by aminoacyl-tRNA synthetases). tRNAs cope with the degeneracy of the genetic code in two manners: having more than one tRNA (with a specific anti-codon) for a particular amino acid; and 'wobble' base-pairing, i.e. permitting non-standard base-pairing at the 3rd anti-codon position. Lineage: Eukaryota; Viridiplantae; Streptophyta; Jungermanniopsida; Pelliales; Pelliaceae. The record is from RNAcentral.
GCAUUCUUAGCUCAGUUGGAUAGAGCAACAAAAAAAACAACCUUCUAAGUUGAAGGUCACAGGUUCAAAUCCUGUAGAAUGCU